GGCGGGAGGCGGGGCCGCGCCGGGCUCUGUGGGUCGAUGUCAAUGUGUCUGUCCUUCACUCCUCCAUUGUCUGCCGCCGCCGCUGCCGCGGGUGCCACCGCCGCUGCCGGAAUCGCCGCAGCCUGCAGCCUCGCGCGUCGCCGCUACCUCCUCCGACAGAAAUUUUAUGAAUAAGCAUCAGAAGCCAGUGCUAACAGGCCAGCGGUUCAAAACUCGGAAAAGGGAUGAAAAAGAGAAAUUCGAACCCACAGUCUUCAGGGAUACACUUGUCCAGGGGCUUAAUGAAGCUGGUGAUGACCUUGAAGCUGUAGCCAAGUUUCUGGAUUCCACAGGCUCAAGAUUAGAUUAUCGUCGCUAUGCAGACACGCUCUUCGAUAUCCUGGUGGCUGGCAGUAUGCUCGCCCCUGGAGGAACACGCAUAGAUGAUGGUGACAAGACCAAGAUGACCAACCACUGUGUGUUUUCAGCAAAUGAAGAUCAUGAAACCAUCCGAAAUUAUGCUCAGGUCUUCAAUAAACUCAUCAGGAGAUAUAAAUAUUUGGAAAAAGCAUUUGAGGAUGAAAUGAAAAAGCUUCUCCUCUUCCUUAAAGCCUUUUCCGAAACAGAGCAGACAAAGUUGGCAAUGCUGUCGGGGAUCCUGCUGGGCAAUGGCACCCUUCCCGCCACCAUCCUCACUAGUCUGUUCACCGACAGCUUAGUCAAAGAAGGCAUUGCAGCCUCAUUUGCUGUCAAGCUUUUUAAAGCAUGGAUGGCAGAAAAAGAUGCCAACUCUGUUACCUCUUCUUUGAGAAAAGCCAACUUAGACAAGAGGCUGCUUGAGCUCUUUCCAGUUAAUAGGCAGAGCGUGGAUCAUUUUGCUAAAUACUUUACCGACGCAGGCCUGAAGGAGCUUUCUGACUUCCUCCGCGUCCAGCAGUCCCUGGGCACCAGGAAGGAACUGCAGAAGGAGCUGCAGGAGCGUCUUUCUCAGGAAUGCCCAAUCAAGGAGGUGGUGCUCUAUGUUAAAGAAGAAAUGAAGAGGAAUGAUCUUCCGGAGACAGCAGUGAUUGGACUUCUGUGGACCUGUAUAAUGAAUGCCGUUGAAUGGAACAAGAAGGAAGAACUGGUUGCAGAGCAGGCCCUUAAGCACCUGAAGCAAUAUGCUCCAUUGCUGGCUGUGUUCAGCUCUCAAGGCCAGUCAGAGCUGAUCCUCCUCCAGAAGGUUCAAGAGUAUUGUUACGACAACAUCCAUUUCAUGAAAGCUUUUCAGAAGAUUGUGGUUCUCUUUUAUAAAGAGAGUAAUCCCCUUAAAAGACCAGUCAUUUGAGGUUGCUGCUUAAUCAAGACGUGUGUGAAGUUGGCAGAACACAGAGUGUUCUGAAUUGCUGGAAUUGCUGAUUCAUUUGCAAAUACAAAAUAACCCACUUUCCUACCAGCACAUUAGCACUGGGAAGGAUUUCCAAGUCCCGGUAGUGAUUCACAGAUAAGCUUGCAAUAUAUCAUGCCUGAUGAGAUGUAUAUCAUCUUCAUCAUCAUCAUCAUCAUCAUCACUAAAGUAUUUGCUGAUCAAAUUCCCAAAAUACAGCACUGUGUUAAUAUGGAAAUGAGCUUGGUUCCUGUCUUCUUGAUAAAUUUCAGAUAUGGAUUUCUUUGAUAACAGCUUUUGAUAUUUAAACUGAUGUACUGAGUGAAGAAGCAAUAUUGAAAUGGUACAAAGAAGCACACGUUGCCAAAGGCAAAAGUGUUUUUCUUGACCAGAUGAAGAAAUUUGUUGAGUGGCUACAAAACGCAGAAGAAGAAUCCGAAUCGGAAGGUGAAGAAAAUUAGAUGGCUCAAGAAGCACAAUACCUAGGCUACCACACAACAC
Mirounga angustirostris (Northern elephant seal) is the source of this 1846-nucleotide RNA transcript. It is a transcript of the gene named basic leucine zipper and W2 domains 2, with no coding region annotated. NCBI's taxonomy places the organism in Eukaryota, Metazoa, Chordata, Mammalia, Carnivora, Phocidae. The transcript is spliced from 13 exons. The record is from RefSeq and is a predicted model, not a curated record.